AUGUACAAUAAUUCCAGAGAGAGGCACCAACCGCAGCUAACACAGGGAUCAAUGGCCGCGUCGGGAGACGACGACAUGGCCGAGCUCGUGAUCUCCUCGCUCCCGCUCGAGACACGGUGUCUGCCGUCCCCGCUGAGGCAGCACGGCGGCUUCUGGUUCUCGGAGCCAUUUCUCCAGGGCAUGGUGGCCGCACACGCACGGUUCAAGGCAAGGCCAUCUGACAUCCUCCUUGUUAGCUUCCCCAAGUCCGGCACCACCUGGCUCAAGGCACUCGCCCUCGCCACGCUCCACCGCACCGACCACCCGCCGCGCGGCCUCGACCACCCGCCGCGCGGCCUCGACCACCCGCUCCGCCGCCACAAUCCCCACGACUGCGUCGAGUUUCUUGAGAAGGCCUUCGCCAUGUCUUUGGCUGCGGAGGACAGCGGCGGUGACGUGCUCGCGGCGCUCCCUUCGCCGCGCCUGCUCGCCACCCACAUGCCUUACACGCACAUGCCGAAGAGCGUCACGGCGGAGGGCACCGGGUGUAAGAUCGUGUACAUCUGCCGCGACCCAAAAGACGCGCUCGUCUCCAUGUGGCAAUUCACCAAGAAGAGAUUGGCAUUCGCCGUGGCGGCUCUAGAUGAUCCACCGAAGCCAUACACAAUCGAUGAGAUGUUCGAGCUCUUCUGCGACGGCAGAUGCACCUGCGGCCCGCAAUGGCACCACAUCCUCGGCUACUGGGAGGCGAGCCGGAGGCAGCCGGAGAAGGUGCUCUUCCUCCGGUACGAGGAGAUGCUCCUGGACCCGGUGGGCAACGUGAGGAAGCUGGCAGAGUUCAUGGGGUGCGCGUUCUAG
Molecule: ribosomal RNA, 837 nt
Filed under: Triticum aestivum (bread wheat)
Lineage: Eukaryota; Viridiplantae; Streptophyta; Magnoliopsida; Poales; Poaceae
Description: partial small subunit ribosomal RNA
Source: RNAcentral